GCCUCAGCUUGCUGGGGUACUCGAGUGGCGAACGGGUGAGUAACACGUGGGUGAUCUGCCCUGCACUUCGGGAUAAGCCUGGGAAACUGGGUCUAAUACCGGAUAGGACCAUCGUUUAGUGUCUGUGGUGGAAAGUUUUUCGGUGUGGGAUGAGCUCGCGGCCUAUCAGCUUGUUGGUGGGGUAAUGGCCUACCAAGGCGUCGACGGGUAGCCGGCCUGAGAGGGUGUACGGCCACAUUGGGACUGAGAUACGGCCCAGACUCCUACGGGAGGCAGCAGUGGGGAAUAUUGCACAAUGGGCGCAAGCCUGAUGCAGCGACGCCGCGUGGGGGAUGACGGCCUUCGGGUUGUAACUCCUUUCGUCAGGGACGAAGCGAAAGUGACGGUACCUGGAUAAGAAGCACCGGCUAACUACGUGCCAGCAGCCGCGGUAAUACGUAGGGUGCGAGCGUUGUCCGGAAUUACUGGGCGUAAAGAGCUCGUAGGUGGUUUGUCGCGUCGUUUGUGGAAUACCGCAGCUUAACUGUGGGGUUGCAGGCGAUACGGGCAUAACUUGAGUGCUGUAGGGGAGACUGGAAUUCCUGGUGUAGCGGUGGAAUGCGCAGAUAUCAGGAGGAACACCGAUGGCGAAGGCAGGUCUCUGGGCAGUA
Molecule: ribosomal RNA, 650 nt
Filed under: uncultured Actinomycetales bacterium
Lineage: Bacteria; Bacillati; Actinomycetota; Actinomycetes; Actinomycetales
Description: bacterial SSU rRNA
Rfam family: Bacterial small subunit ribosomal RNA
Source: RNAcentral